CUUCAGCGACCCCAGCCACAGCGGACGGCCCUCCGGCCGCCCCUGCCCGUACGUCGCCACGAUCGCCUGCGCCUC
Molecule: antisense RNA, 75 nt
Filed under: Streptomyces sp. NRRL B-1140
Lineage: Bacteria; Bacillati; Actinomycetota; Actinomycetes; Kitasatosporales; Streptomycetaceae
Description: ASpks sRNA
Rfam family: ASpks TB sRNA
Source: RNAcentral